CAAGGGCUGAACAUCUGCUAGGUUUCAGAGCGUCGCUGUUGGAACCAGUGAACCCGGCACACCCAAGGGGAGAGAGGAAAGGUGGAAGAAGUUAACUGUAGGUUGCCCACAAGCAUGUAGACCCCAGACCAGUUGGAACCAGAAGGUUGAUGAUGCCGACUCCCGAUUACCUCAUCACCAACCAAUCAGAAGAAUGUCCACGAGCUGACCACUCCCUGCUCCUUGAACACUGCACCAGUGAACAGAGGCCGAAUUUCAGCAACACAAUGAAUGGGUUGAAAGUUGACCUCUAAAUCUCCUUCCAGUUCUGACAUUCAACGGGUUUAAACCAGGCAAGACUCCAGCCUCCACGACCUUCCCUGGAUUCCUGAGGGCAGAUUCGAAAAGUUGCUAAUCAAGGGAGGAGCAGCCAAGAAACCACCUGAGGCAAGAUUAAAGGGACCAGAGAAACUCAUCAAGAUUAGCAGACCUGACCACCUGAGAUGAGAUUAAGGUCAUGCAAACCCUGCUCACGCCCUAAUCUUGUCAGAGACCCCACCUUUGAACCAUUGUCAUAAAACCCUCAUCACAUCCUCCCGGGUUGGGACACAUGGUUUUUUGAGGCAGAAGUCCAGUGUGUCUUCCUUUGCCUGGCAAAGCAAUAAAGCUAUCCUUCUCUACUUCACCCAAAACCCUGUCUGGGACUUCCCUGGCCAUCCAGUGGUUAAGACGCUGUGCUUCUAAUGCAGGGGGCGCAGCUUCCAUCCCUGGUUUGGGAACUAAGAUCCCACAUGCCAUGCAGCGCGGCCAAAAAAAAAAAAACAAACAGAAGAAAACUGUCUCCAAGAUUUGAUUUGGCACCGGUGUACAAAGAGGCAGAGCUUUCGGUAACAUCAGAGUCCUUUAAUAGAGGGUAAGUUGGACAGAUCCAUGUGAGACAAUGUUAUGCAGCCAUCGAAAAGGAUGUUAUAAAAGACAGAAUUAUAGAUGAAGUAAGAUCAGUGGUUGCCACGGCUUGGAGAAGGGGGAUGAGUAGGGGAAAUACGUAGCAUUAUUAGGCCCGUGUCUGUAUGAUACUGUAAUGGUGAAUACAUGACAUGGAUUUGUCAAAAUCCACAGAACUGUACAAAGAAUAAACCUUAAUGUAAACUAUGGACUUUAGCCAGUAACAGUGCUUCAAUACUGAUUAACUAAUUGUAACAGAUGUACCACGCUAAUGCUGUGUGUUAAUAUUGAUAGUAGGGGAUGGCUUCCCUGGUGGCACGGUGGUUAAGAAUCCGCCUGCCAAUGCAGGGGACAUGGGUUCGAGCCCUGGUCCAGGAAGAUCCUACAUGCCGCGGAGCAACUAAGCCCAUGUGCCACUACUGAGCCUGCGCUCUAGAGCCCUCAAGCCACAACUACUGAAGCCCGUGUGCCUAGAGCCCGUGCUCCGCAACGAGAAGCCCCUGCAAUAAGUCCGCGCGCUGCAAGGAAGAGUAGCCCCCGCUCACCACAACUAAAGAACGCCUGCACGCAGCAACAAAGACCCAACACAGCAGAAAAUUAAUUAAUUAAUUAAUUUAAAAAAAUUGAUAGUAGGGGAAAUAAUAGUGGGGCUGGGGGAAUAUGGGAAC
Molecule: long non-coding RNA, 1592 nt
Organism: Physeter macrocephalus (sperm whale)
Lineage: Eukaryota; Metazoa; Chordata; Mammalia; Artiodactyla; Physeteridae
Exons: 4
Source: RefSeq, a predicted model, not a curated record